GACGAACGCUGGCGGCGUGCUUAACACAUGCAAGUCGAACGGAAAGGCCCUGCUCUUGUGGGGUGCUCGAGUGGCGAACGGGUGAGUAACACGUGAGUAACCUGCCCUUGACUUUGGGAUAACUUUAGGAAACUGGGGCUAAUAUCGGAUAGGAGCUCCUGCUGCAUGGUGGGGGUUGGAAAGAUUCGGCGGUUGGGGAUGGACUCGCGGCUUAUCCGCUUGUUGGUGGGGUAGUGGCUUACCAAGGCUUUGACGGGUAGCCGGCCUGAGAGGGUGACCGGCCACAUUGGGACUGAGAUACGGCCCAGACUCCUACGGGAGGCAGCAGUGGGGAGUAUUGCACAGUGGGCGGAAGCCUGAUGCAGCGACGCCGCGUGCGGGAUGACGGCCUUCGGGUUGUAAACCGCUUUCGCCUGUGACGAAGCGUGAGUGACGGUAAUGGGUAAGGAAGCACCGGCUAACUACGUG
This 468-nucleotide ribosomal RNA is filed under the name uncultured bacterium. RNAcentral describes it as "partial 16S ribosomal RNA". It matches the Rfam family "Bacterial small subunit ribosomal RNA", at positions 28 to 507 of the family's 1533-position model. The record is from RNAcentral.